AUGACUUCUUUUGUUCUCAAGAUAUUUGCUUCACCUUUUUUUCCAUACGACCCCCAACAAGGGACAGGGUUCUCAUUUGUCGCACUGUGUAGUAAUUGCUUACAGUUCCAAAUUGCUUAUUUUUACACGAGCAGUACCUUUUAUAGUCUUUGGAGUUGCAGAGGCAUAAUGAAUACUUUGUUUUAUCAGUCUGUAAGUUACAGUGGACCGUAA
RNAcentral lists this ribosomal RNA (213 nucleotides) under Triticum aestivum (bread wheat). RNAcentral describes it as "partial small subunit ribosomal RNA". Lineage: Eukaryota; Viridiplantae; Streptophyta; Magnoliopsida; Poales; Poaceae. The record is from RNAcentral.